Molecule: ribosomal RNA, 253 nt
Filed under: uncultured bacterium
Lineage: Bacteria
Description: partial 16S ribosomal RNA
Rfam family: Bacterial small subunit ribosomal RNA
Source: RNAcentral
UACGAAGGGGGCUAGCGUUGCUCGGAAUGACUGGGCGUAAAGGGCGCGUAGGCGGCGCGGGGAGUCAACGGUGAAAGCUCGGCGCUCAACGCCGAGUCGGCCGUCGAUACUCCCGUGCUUGAGCACUGUAGAGGCAGGUGGAAUUCCGGGUGUAGCGGUGGAAUGCGUAGAUAUCGAGAGGAACACCAGUGGCGAAGGCGAGUCCCUGGACAACUUCUGACGCUGAGGCACGAAAGCUAGGGGAGCAAACAGG